AUAAAGUAUAACAUUUCAUGAAGCAGAAUCAAAGGAACAAAAAGGCCAUUCAUUCAGAAAAUUUCAAAUACAUAGGAGUCAUUCGAAGGAAGUGUACAUUGAAGCUAAAAUACCAAAUGGAACUAAUAAAUCAGUUCAGAGAGCAAAAACAGCAGCAAUAAACCAGUCAACUUCAGCAGUUUCCCAUAAGGUUAAACUUCAAACCAGCAUCCAAGCAAGAAAAUACCCCAGAAUUGGACUAAGAACUAAAAAAAUCUUCUGUUUUCAAACCAUGUUUUGAAUAAGAGGCUUCUUAGAUUUUCAAAAGUUAUUUUUGGGACUGAAAUUUUGCAGAAGACUCAGGAGCUUUUCAGAGAGAAUUUUUUGACUGAUAUCAUAUAUUCUGACCUCCUUUUGAGAGUGGGGAAUUGUUUCUUUACAUAGAGUGCACCAAAGAGCAUCAAAAAUG
RNAcentral lists this long non-coding RNA (448 nucleotides) under Nicotiana benthamiana. RNAcentral's name for it is "long non-coding RNA (NBEN_LNC024588)". Lineage: Eukaryota; Viridiplantae; Streptophyta; Magnoliopsida; Solanales; Solanaceae. The record is from RNAcentral.